Molecule: long non-coding RNA, 223 nt
Filed under: Citrus sinensis (sweet orange)
Lineage: Eukaryota; Viridiplantae; Streptophyta; Magnoliopsida; Sapindales; Rutaceae
Description: long non-coding RNA (CSIN_LNC005837)
Source: RNAcentral
CAACAUCAGCGGGUUCACGAAAUCUUCUAUCUUCAGUGACAGGCACAGCCACACUGUAUGCAUUUGGUGGCGCAUCUUCAAUUGGAUACAGAUCCAAAUUUUCAGUAAAGUGAAGUACAGCUUUCAGAGCAACACACACAACUCUAGCUUUUUCCUGUAACAAACAGACAGCCCUUAGUUCGGUAUUGUAAAUUCCAUUUCUUAAUCAUUCCGUACUAUUAAU